AAGGAAUGAGCUCCUGAUCUUGGGGAGUACUUAAAAGAACUUUUUCUUGGAAGAAUUACUGCAGGAAACAUUCAUAGAACCUUGGGAAACAUGAAUUCUGGAAUCUUGCAAGUCUUCCAGAGGGCACUCACCUGUCCCAUCUGCAUGAACUACUUCAUAGACCCAGUCACCAUAGACUGUGGGCACAACUUUUGCCGGCCCUGUUUCUACCUCAACUGGCGAGACAUGGCAGUUCUUGCUCAGUGCUCUAAAUGCAAGAAGACAAUACAGCAGAGAAACCUCAAAACUGACAUUUGUUUGAAGAACAUGGCUUCCACUGCCAGAAAAGCCAGCCUCUGGCAAUUCCUUAGCUCUGAGGAGCAAAUAUGUGGGAUGCACAGAGAGACAAAGAAGAUGUUCUGUGAAGUGAACAAGAGCCGGCUCUGUUGGCUGUGCUCCAACUCUCAGGAGCACCGGAAUCACAGACACUGUCCCAUUGAGUGGGCUGCUGAGGAACGCCGGGAGGAGCUCCUAAAAAAAAUGCAGUCUUUAUGGCAAAAAGCUUGUGAAAAUCUCAGAAACCUGAACACAGAAACCACCAGAACCAGAUGCUGGAAGGAUUAUGUGAGUUUAAGGACAGAAGCAAUCAGAGCUGAAUAUCAGAAGAUGCCUGCAUUUCUCCAUGAAGAAGAGCAACAUCACUUGGAGAGGCUGCGAAAGGAGGGCGAGGACAUUUUUCAGCAACUCAAUGAAAGCCAAGCCAGAAUGGAACAUCCCAGGGAGCUUUUAAGAGGAAUGUAUGAGGAUCUGAAGCAAAUGUACCAUAAAGCAGAUGUGGAGCUACUCCUGGCUUUUGGAGACAUAUUACACAGGGGAGUGCAUACCAAGAUUUUAGCAGAUGCUUUCAGUUUCCACAAAUAUCAAGCAGGAACUUUGAUAUUGAAGGUAUGAGUCCCCGCUGCUGCAAGUGUCUGAGCCUGUGAAUCCAGAGCUCAGUGCAGGGCCCAUCACUGGACUGCUGGACAGGCUCAGUGGAUUCAGAGUUGAUUUUACUCUGCAGCCUGAAAGAACCAAUAGUCAUAUCUUCCUGUAUGGAGAUUUGAGAAGCAUGAAUGUUGGAUGUGACCCUCAAGAUGAUCCCGAUAUCACUGCAAAAUCUGAAUGUUUUCUUGUAGGGGGGGCUCCGGCUUUCACAUCUGGCAAAUAUUAUUGGGAGGUUCACGUGGGGGACUCUUGGAAUUGGGCUUUUGGUGUCUGUAACAAUUAUCGGAAAGAGAAGAGACAGAAUGACAAGAUAGAUGGAGAGGAGGGACUCUUUCUUCUUGGAUGUGUUAAGGAGGACACUCACUGCAGUCUCUUUACCACCUCCCCACUUGUGGUGCAAUAUGUUCCAAGACCUACCAGCACAGUAGGAUUAUUCCUGGAUUGUGAAGGUAGAACCAUGAGCUUUGUUGGUGUUGAUCAAAGUUCCCUGAUAUACACCAUCCCUAAUUGCUCCUUCUCACCUCCUCUCAGGCCUAUCUUUUGCUGUAGUCACUUCUGACCAGAGAAAAGUCAGAAAUGUGUCUAUAUGCUCUGGGAACCUGUUUAUCCCAGAAAGCCCUCUUUUUCGCACCUCAUCAAAUGGGACAAAUAAGUUACAUUUAAUGUCUUUAGUUGCAUUCUAAUGUCAUCAAAACUCAUUUAUAGUGUUUCUAUUAAAUAUGGUGAAAACA
This is an RNA transcript of Homo sapiens (human), 1694 nucleotides long. It is a transcript of the gene named tripartite motif-containing 51E, pseudogene, with no coding region annotated. The record is from RefSeq and is marked validated. Lineage: Eukaryota; Metazoa; Chordata; Mammalia; Primates; Hominidae. The transcript has 7 exons.